AAUAACAUCAAUAUAAGAAAUAUAGGAAAUACGAAAAACGAAAAAGAUGGAAGGUAUACUAAUAUCCAACAGACAAAACCCUGCAUCAGUAGUUGAUCAGUAGCAUCCUAAGACUAAAUCCUAACUGGCUAGUCUUUCUCUAGUGCGUUGUAGAAAUAUCCACAACGUCCCUCUAAUCUACAACCUUAAUGCUCGACCUUCACAAUUCCCUGCCAAGGACCGUGUCCUCAGUAAUCCUAAGUCGCGCCAUGUACUGCCUGAUCACCUCUACCCAAUACUUCUUAGGUCUCCCUCUACCUCUCUUCGUGCCCACCACAGCCAGUCACUCACGCCUUCUCACCGGUGCAUCAGUGCUCCUCCUCUAAAUGUGCCCGAACCAUCUGAAUCUUGUUUCCUGCAUCUUGUCCUCCAUGGGUCACGCCCACCUUCUCUCGAAUAUCUUCAUUCCUAAUAUUAUCCAUUCUUGUAUGCUCGCACGUCCACCUCAACAUCUUCAUUUCUGCUACUUUCACCUUCUGGAUGUGUGAGUUCUUAACCGGCCAACACUCGGUCCCAUACAACAAGGCAGGCCUAACAACUGCGAUAUAAAACUUACCUUUUAGUAAUGAUGGCAUUUUCUUGUCACAUAGGACUCUCGUCGCUAACCUCUACUUCAUCCACCCCACCUCUAUACGGUGUGUGACAUACUCGUCGAUCUCCUCAAUCCCCUGAAUAACUGACCGAAGGUACUUGAAACUACCCCUCUUAGGGAUGACUUGAGAGUCAAGCCUCACUUCCACUCCCGAUUCUGUCGGCUCGGCCCCAAAUUUGCACUCGAGGUAUUCCGUCUUCGUCCUACUUAACCUGAAACCUUUAGACUCAAGAGCAUGUCUCCAAACCUCUAGCCUCUCGUUGACGCUGCGUCGUGUCUCGUCAAUUAGGACUAUGUCAUUAACAAAUAGCAUGCACCAUGGCACCUCCCAUUUAAUAUGAUGCGUUAUGGCAUUCAUAACCAAGGAAAAUAGGAAAGGGCUGAACGCAGACCCUUGGUGCAACCCCGUAGCAACCGAAAAAUGCUCGGAGUUGCCUCCUACUGUCCUAACCCGAGUUUUAGCUCCAUCAUACAUGUUUUUAAUCACCCUAAUGUAGGCAAUCGGGACCUCUUUAACCUCUAAGCAGCUCCAUAAGACCUCUCUAGGAACCCUGUCGUACGCUUUCUCUAGAUCGAUAAGCACCAUGUGGAGAUCCUUCUUAUUAUCCCUGUAUUGUUCCACCAUCCUGCUAAUAAGGUGGAUAGCUUCUGUGGUAGAUCGCCCCGGCAUGAACCUCUGAACUGGUUGUCUGAAAUAGACACCCUUCGCACUUUCAUUUCUACCACUCUCUCCCAGACUUUCAUGGUAUGACUCAUUAAUUUGAUACCCCUAUAGUUGUUAUAGCUCUGGAUAUCGCCUUUAUUCUUAUACAACGGAACUAUUGUACUCCACCUCCACUCUUCAGGCAUUCUACUAGUCUUGAAUAUAACAUUAAACAACCCAGUAAGUCAUUCCAAGCAUGUUCUACCCACACACCUCCAAAGUUCAACCGGAAUUUCGUCUGGCCCGGUAGCUUUGCCCCUUUUUAUCUUACGCAUUGCCUCUAUGACCUCAUCGACCUCAGUAUCCCUACAAUAACUGAAUUCACGGGGGCUGUCGGCAUUCUUCAAUUCACCUAGUACAAUAUCCUGAUCCCCUUCUUCAUUUAGAAGUUUAUGAAAGUAGGUUUGCCGUCUCCUCUUAAUCUGAUCAUCCCCAUCAAAACUUUGCCGUUCUCAUCUUUUAUGCACCUCACUUAGUCCGGAUCUCAAGCCGUCCUCUCUCUUACCUUAGCAAGUCAGGAAUAAAUGCGCACUUAGAAUGAUAAAACUAAUUACAAGAUUGCUAAAGAAAAACUUUGCCUCAAUCUUAAACUAUUUAGGGCGUUUAUGUCAGUCCUCCGUGAACAUUUUGUUGUGUUUGCACCCAUUUCAUCCCAAUAGUAAAUGAGUUGUCUUUAAGUCAAAUUAGGGUUUCUUUAAAACUAGAGGCUCCGUAUAACAAUUAUCCUACAUUGACAUAAAAGUCUCUAUCCAGUCUUCUGCAAAUACUGGAGCUAAUUUGAUCUGAAAAGAUAUUCUGAGGCUGCUACUCGUCAAUGUCCAAACCUGAAAUCGUUAAAAACCCUGGAUGGUCUUUCUUAACAAUAUUUCUUCUCUUAUUGAAACUACUCAUGUAUUUCAGUUCCUGCUUAUCUCGUUCCUUUUUUCAUUAAAUGAUUCUAGAAGCAUUUUUAUUGAGUUCUGAAAGUGGCGAGAUAUUUUACUUUUUGACUUUGACCUUAUAGGUUGUGGGGGUUCUGGUAACAUAAUGUGUUCAGACUGUGGAGGACGAGGUCAUCUUUCACUUGCUUGAUUCUAGCAGUUUGAUCUCGUGGCUGUUUGUCAUGAUGUAGUCGGCUUUGUCAGGUAGCAUGAAAAUGAAAAGGUUGUUGUUACAUAUAUUCAAGAAUAGCUAAUUUGAAGUUAUUUUUGUGUAUCAGUUGAUUGUUUUUGUGGAAAAAUAAUGUUAUCUGUUGAAUACAGCUAGAUUUCCCUUUUUAUAGGGUAUCAUUUUUGUUCUAAAUUCUUAUCAAGUUGAACGUGAAGAAUGUAGGAUAUCUGAAUGGAUGUAAAGCAAUGUAGAGUUUCUUGUGUAUGUUUCAAAAUGUAUUUUCGAGUCUGGUGAAAAGAAGUUUAUAAAUGUUUUCUUCUGGUUCGUAACCUAAUGAAAAGUGACAAUAGCGAUCACAUCUAUGUCGGAAAGAAAUCUUACUUCUCUUGCAGUGGGAUUGCAAACUAUAGCAGGUUGCCGCCACGUGGAGAAGCAAAAUAGACCAUUAACACACUCCUAAAAGGCACAAAGUCGUAGAGGGAGGCGUUUCCAUCUUCAAUUUGUUCUAUAGUGAAAAAAGCUUCUCUUCCGCGUGCAAAAGGUGGUGGAUUUGUGUCUUAGUUCACAGGUUCAAGCUCCCACCCCAUGUAAAACAAAGCAUGAUAUUUAAGUGGAGAAGGGUAAAGGAACGACCUUAUUAUCCACCGAGUUUCGAAGAUUGUGGUUGAUCCAAAGGAUUGGUCCCAAAUGGAUUUCUCGCUUAUUAAAAAAAAUAGAGUGGCAUUGAUGAGUAUUCAUGAAAUAUGAUUCAGAUAUUAGGGUGUUUGCCUAAGCUCUUAAGAUGGUCAAACUGGCUUAUAAGUACUUUUUAGUUUAUUUAUGCGUUUGGUAAACACCCAAAGUGCUUAUAAGUUAAAAUCAAUCAUAAAUCAUAAGUUGGUCACCCCAACUUAUGACUUUUUAGCUUAUAAACACUUUUAGUGUGACAAUACUUUUACUAGUUUAUCUUUAAUAAUAUUUUCUAAUUCACAAAAUAUUUUUCCCAAAAUAAAUUUUCUAACUUUCUUUUCAUUCCAUAUUCGUUGUUGAUCUAUUAUUUACAAAGAAACUUUUUAAUUUAUAAUUUUUGUAAAGUUUUUAAGUAUAUUUUAGUUAUUUUAAUAAAAGAGCAACUUAUCAAAACUUUUCUACCAAACAUAUUAAUUGCUUAUUAGCAAUUUCAGCACGUCUAUCUAAACAUGUAAAUUAUUUAAAAAAUUAAUUUCAUCACUUAAAAUUACACUUUAGAACUUCAGACUUACCAACUACUUACCAUUCAAAGAGAAUCUACUAGUUAGUGCCGAAUAAAAAGCCAUUUAAACAGGAGGGGAGCUUGUAGAUGUGAGUUGAAGGUAAAUUCUAAUUAUAAUUAUAAAAAUUUAUAAUCUAUGCUAAUGUUUCUUUAUAGUUCUCGCAUUUACUUUACCAUUUUACUCACAUUGUCUUGUCUCUUCUCCCCUACGGUCGAAGAUUUUUUGCUCUACAACAAUGUAGAGCAAAUAUUUAUAUUAUCAAGACAGUGUUAGGAUUAUCAAGUCAGUUAACUAUCAACUUAGAUAUAUAUACUUUACACCAAAAGUUAACCCUGAUUGAUAUUUGAUUGAACAAACCGAUAUAGUGGUUUGAUUUCGAUGUAGAUAAAACCGAAUCAUAAACUUGUGGUAGUCCACAAAAAUAAACUUGACCAUAUGGCAUUCCUAGUCAGUAGUCAUAGAGCUGGUUCAUUUUGCACCAGUAAUCAUUAAGGUCAGCAUCUAGGAAAUUUUACACAUAAUUGAUAAUACAUUCAAGGAGAUGAAUAUGUUGUUCCACCAUGAUCAAUGAACCAGACAUCUGAUUUCACUAAAAGAACGAUCACACUAAUACAAAACAUUUUCUAGUCGCGGUCGGCAUCGUCCAGUUCUUCAUCCUCAGGUACACCACGAAGAUAGAGGACAUUAUUACAUCUGCAAAAGCAAAAUCACUAAGUUUAAGAAAGAGAAAUCACAUUUUCGUUAGGGAGCAGCCAUUUCACUCGCAAAUGCUUUAAUAAAUAAAGUUAUAUAACUAUACGAAAAGACUGUCAAGAGUGAAUUGAUGAUUUGCCAUGAUACAAUUGAUGAAAAACGAAUUAACAAAUAAAUUUGUAAGAGCUAAAUGGAACACUAUCCUAGAGUGAUGUGUCAGAAAACUACCAUACAGAUAAUUCUGAAUCAUGAACUUAUAAACCAAUGAAUAAUCGAUAAAUAUUUGAAGUACUCUUUUUACAAGAACUGAAAAUCUAAAAAAUGAAACAAAAGCUAAUGGAUGUAACUGAUCCAAAUGGAGAAUGGUAUUGUGAGGAAGAUGGAACAUCAAGUCCAUAGGUAAGGAUACCAUUUGUUAGCAAUAAGAGACAACUUUUGAAAGCUACGAAUGUCUGCAUACUCACUCAUAUCUAAGGCAGAAGGGCAAAUAGAGCACAUCAAACAUUUGUCAUACUGGUCUAAUAUUUAUCAUUCACACCACACGAGACAUGCAACUAAUAAAAAAUGCAAAACAAAGAAAAUCUCCAUAAUUCCAACUCUUAAAGUCAACAAAGUUUAGGAACCAUUUUUUUUAUAUAAAAUAAGCCAACCAAGAAAGAAAAAGGAUGGGCUCCAUUUACAACUACACAUGUUUCUUCAGCCUUAUACGCCUGCUACCUGAUGCAGGCAGAAAAGGGAGCCAGACGGGAGAGGAAGAAAAUGGAGGUGGCUUUUGAGCUGUUACGAUUAUUAUGUUUUUUCAAAAUAACCAUGACAGUAUGAUUAUUAUGUUCAGCUGUUGGCAUGAAUUUCAAAUAUGGUUAUCAGGAUCAAAAGAUGAAGCCAUAAAAGGUACCUAAUCAGGAUCUCUCCAAGAGAACCAGUGCAUUGUCCAUCAAUGUAUUCUUCUGCGUUUGCAAGCUGCAAAAAGAAUAACAUGAUUUCAGAAAAUUGCACACGCAUGCACACUUCUAUAGAACAAGCAGGUUACUGGGAGCUUGCAAUUACUUGUUCGGACAAUGAAUGUAAAAUGGUUUUACUGUAAAAUCUGUAGUGUUGUGCUCAUUAUUUUUCUGAUUUUAGUUGUAUACCCAUUUGUAAACAGACUUUCCUCCAAAAGACAGGGUUUUUAUGUAGUCAGGAUACAUGAAGCUAUCCUUAUCCAAGAUUAUCUCCAAACACACAGCUAAGAUUAGGAACCAUAUGUUUAUGUGCAGCAGACAAUUAAAUUAGCUAAUCAUCUCCUACUUCAUUACUGUGCAGGACCUUUGAGAAUGGUCUUUGCGCUGCUGCAAAGUUGACUCCUUGAGCAAUUUGUACAUUACUAAAAUAUGGGAAAGGCAUCAUAAGUUAGCAAAUUCAAAUGAAAAACUCGGAUUGGGUGGCUGCCUACUGCAUCUUCAGGUUUGCAUGGAAAGAAAGAAUAACAGAAGUUUCCAAGAUGAAACAACUGCCUUACUCAAUGUGAAGCUGAGAUCUCCCAAAUAGCUAUUGUUUCUCUUAGUUUUGACAUUUUAGUGCAUCCGCGAUAAUCUAUAUUAUUGCAAAAACUUAAUGCUAUUUUUUCUUCAACACAGCACUGAGUUCACUGAACACAGUCCAUCCCCAAGCCAGAUCCACAUACAGGAAAAAAAAAACUAAAAGGCCACUAUUGCAAAGUUAACAAGAAUUUCACCCCCCCCCCCCNNNNNNNNNNNNNNNNNNNNNNNNNNNNNNNNNNNNNNNNNNNNNNNNNNNNNNNNNNNNNNNNNNNNNNNNNNNNNNNNNNNNNNNNNNNNNNNNNNNNNNNNNNNNNNNNNNNNNNNNNNNNNNNNNNNNNNNNNNNNNNNNNNNNNNNNNNNNNNNNNNNNNNNNNNNNNNNNNNNNNNNNNNNNNNNNNNNNNNNNNNNNNNNNNNNNNNNNNNNNNNNNNNNNNNNNNNNNNNNNNNNNNNNNNNNNNNNNNNNNNNNNNNNNNNNNNNNNNNNNNNNNNNNNNNNNNNNNNNNNNNNNNNNNNNNNNNNNNNNNNNNNNNNNNNNNNNNNNNNNNNNNNNNNNNNNNNNNNNNNNNNNNNNNNNNNNNNNNNNNNNNNNNNNNNNNNNNNNNNNNNNNNNNNNNNNNNNNNNNNNNNNNNNNNNNNNNNNNNNNNNNNNNNNNNNNNNNNNNNNNNNNNNNNNNNNNNNNNNNNNNNNNNNNNNNNNNNNNNNNNNNNNNNNNNNNNNNNNNNNNNNNNNNNNNNCCCCCCCACACACACACACACAAAAAAAAAAACAGAAUUGGACCAACAAUGUUUUUUGAUAUUAGGAAAAAUUCUUUUCAACUUGCUUGCAUAACUAAAUUCUUAAUACAGUAGUAGUAAAUGUGGUUAUCUAGCAGCACUCAUGCCCCUGAUGGAUAGCAGUAAUAGUAAUAUUAUCAAGCAUAUCAUAAAGAUAUAGAUGCACAUACAUCCAAUUAUAAUGUUCUUUAGACAAUUUGAAAUGGAAAAGGACAGAAACUCAAAUUAACAUUAUUACCUGCAAGUUCAUGUAUGAAUCCACAGAGACCAGAUACCCUAGAAAGAGAAGACAAAAGAAGGAGUUAGUUAAACAAUGUUUGCAGCAUCUCAAUCUAAAAAACCUUAAUGAAGAGCAUACUAUUAGGCACCACUAAGUCCAAUCAGCAGAGUACCUUUGUACUCCAUUCCCCACUUCAGCUUUACCAUCACAGGCUUUCCAGUCAAAUUGUUCAAAAAAGGCUUGGGAUUAACUGGAACUGUCUGCAAUGACCGCAAAUUAAAAGCUAUUCAGUAUGAGAAACCCAAAGUUUCUAAAUACAAUACAUUACUCUAUUUGUAUUCCCAUUCACAGCAUAGACUAAAUGAGAGAACACUAUGAUGAUAAAUAUAGCAAAGAUACAAACUUUAGUACCAAUAGCCCUGGUCUGAAUUUUUUUUACAACCGAGAAACUCAUCUGGAGCCAAUCCUAGGACCAACUGCAGCCUUCGAAACAAAGGUAUAAUAAGUCCACCCUCUACCCUUCACCACUUAAAUACCAGGCUUAGUUCACAUGGUAUAGGGAUAGAACGUGCGACCUAAGUCACAAGUCCCCUCAAACUUUGCCACUUGAACUAAGCCCUUAGGGCUACCAACACGCUUCUAAAAUAAGCUGCACCAAUACUUAGGAUCUACCCUCUAUGUUUCAAUUUUUUGGUAAUUUUGCUUAGCUAGAAUCAAUUCGACAAAUUGAUUAAACUAAUUCAGACUAGAUAUAUUAAUUUUUCCCCAAAUUACAAUUAAGAAAUUUAAAGAAAAAAACUAAAAGUACUAUUCUCAUAUCAAAUUGACCCAAAAAAUACGUUUUUUUAGAAUGUUGGUUAAGUUAGCUUAGUUAGACUCUCUCGAGAAAAAAAAAACUGAGCAUGGUGCAUCACAUGUUGCAGGUUUAUUAUCCAUAGAAACAGUGAGAAGUAUAAUACAACAAACAUAUAUACUUUUGUAAUCAUAAGGUAAAAUAAUAAUAUUAAUUAAUAGCACCAGAUAACAAAGAAGAACAAAGUAACAGAACUAUAAGGAGAAUAUAAAAGCAAGAGCAGCUAUUGAAGAAUGGUACUUGAGUACUUACCGCCAUGGAAGCUUUUCAAGGGUUUAAGGUUUUCCGGAAAGUGGGAAGAGAAGGGAAACUGCCUUUGUUUCUCCUAAUCUCCUCUGCGCUGGAGAUGAUUGGGCUAAUAAAACUUUAAUGGGCCAAACUCCAAUUAGAUGUGGGCUGGCCCACGUAAGGUUAUGAUGCCCAAGUCCAACCCUCUUACAUAAUCAAGAAGGGAAAGAAAAAGGAAAAUUACGCGACAUAUAAAAUAUUUAGAGAAACUUUCGGAAACUCCAAUAUUUUAGUGAUUAUUAAUUAGUUGUACCUAUUAUUUAUUAUAUUACUUUCUAUAGUUAUAUUUUUAGAUUUUUUAAAGUGUAUUCGAUGUAUUUAAGCUAUUGUAUUCAUGAAUACAUUAAUAUUUCUAGGCGUGAAACAGGGGAUUACAGCUAGAAAAUUUUUUUAUAUUCAAGUGUAUUCGACGAUAUUUAUAGCGUUACAGCUGGACAGAUUAUUGAAUUCAAUUGUAUUUAUUGCGUAAAACAGGGUAUUACAUUAUUUUUAAACGAAAAGUAAAUCAACUAACAUAAUAGAUUCCUAAUAUAACUCAAAAAAACUCAAUUAUAAUACACAAAAUUUGUAUUUUUAGUUAUAAAAAAUAUUCUCAAUCGAAAAAAGCCAAAAAAUAUAGCAAUCUUCAGAGAAAUUAUAUAAUACACAUGAAUACAUAAAUUAUAUUAGUUAAAACAAUAUAUGAACACAUUCAUGGAAUAUAGCGAGACAAUAAAUACAAUGAAAUACAUGGAAUACAGCAUGAUACACUGAAAUACAAUAAAAUAAAAAGACAAUGGAUACAACAAAAUAUAGCGAGAUACAUUAAAAUACACUUAAGAAAAUGUAACAUAAUUUUCAAGUUGCUCAGCCCUAAACUCCAUCGUCUUUGUACAAGAACAACCCUAAUGUCAUCUCGUCGAGAGAGCUGUGAUUCUGACUCGAACGUAAUUAUUCCCAUUACUGUGAUACUAUUCUGAAAAUAGAAAUAAAAGUUAUGCGAGAACAAACUAAUCGAUAGAAUUGCAAAUUGUAAAUCACAUCUUUACAUAUCACAUCUAACCUUUAUUCAGAACCACCACGCAACAACCAAUUUGCAGCUUUGCAGAUAAUUUCUUAAACUCAAAACAAUAAUUUUCCCCUAAUAACUCAUCUGUGUACUGUGUACUAAUUGUGUGUGAAAAUAAAAUGCAUGGAAGAUCAUGCAAAGCUCCAACAAUAGAAGAGCAACAAGCUUCUGCUAUCAAAGCUUCUAAAUUACAUUCUCUCCAAUCCCAAUUUCUCUAAUUUUCAUCGGAGAUUCGCCGCUGAUGGUGGUGGUGACGGAGAAGCUUUUUAGGAAGAAGAAUAAUAGACGGAGGAACUGAUGAGAGAGAAGCCAUUAGUUUGUAUUCAUGGAAAAAGCUGGUGUUGAGAGAGAAGGUGGAGAAAAGUAUGAAAGAAUGAAAGAAAAAAAUAAUACAAAGCUUAUUUUAUGCCUUAAGGGUAGGAGGUAACCAUAAAUAGAUUUUUUGCUAUAAAAAAAUAAAAGGUAGCUAUGGAAUAUAAUUUUUUAAAAGGAUAUUUAUUUAAAAUAAAUAAGGUAUCAACCUUUGCUAUAGGAGGUAACUAAUCCAAAUAUUUACACUAUAUUUAUCUUACGUAGCUAUAUCUUCCAGCAAAUUUAUCAUUCAUAGCUAUAUUUAAAUUUUAUAGAUCCAUGAAAUAAGAGAUUAAUUAUUUUGAACUGAAAUAAGAGAGCAACAAGCGUCUAUAACUCAGUUGGCUCUAAAUCCAUGAAAUAAGAGAUUAAUUAUUUUGGAUUGAAAUAACAGGGCAACAAGCUCUCAUAGCUUAGAGAUACAUAUGAUAAUUAGGCCAAUUGUAGUUAGUAGGCUCUAAAAUAUAGUGACUUACGAGAGCUUGUUGCUCUCUUGUUUCAAUACAAAAUAAUUAAUGUCUUAUUUUAUGAAUUUUUUAUAAAAAUCAAUUAUAGCUAUGAAUGAUAAAUUUUGCAAAAAAAAGUAUAAUUAUGAAUGAUAAAUAAAGUUUAAAUAUUUGAUGUGUCGCGUAAUUUUUUUAUUUUUUAAAAUUGAGACCGCUAGUCUAUCAUUUAGCCAUCACUCAAAAUGAUAUAGUAAACUUCAGACGCCUUUUAAUACGGAAAUGAAAUUUAAACACAAAUACUCUUAAAAAAUAUUGAAAACCUCCAUCAAUAUAUAUGAGUUUGAAAUUUACUCCAACAAAAAGUUGCAAACUCAAGAAAUAAAUUCAUAAUGUUUAAAUCUCAUUCUUGUAUUCUAGGAGAAUGUGACAGUAGAACAUGUUUGGCCUGAAAAACACUUUUAAGUGUUGAAUUUGAUUAAAAAAAUAAGCAGUUACGUAUUUAAAUAAAAGUGUUGAAAUUAAUAAUAAUUAGUUGAAGAACUGGGUAUACAAAGAGUUUUAUUUUAAAAAGAAGUGUUUUAGGGGUAGAAUAGUAAACAUUACGUUAAAUCUAAAAUGCUUAUAAUCCGAAAUUUGAUAAGUUAGGGGAUACCAACUUAUGAAUUUUGGCUUAUUUUUCGCGUAUAAGCACUUUUAAUUUUAUCAAAUGUGUAGAUAAGCCAAAAAGUGCUUAUACGCAGUGUGACCAGCUUAUAAGCUUAGCUAAACACUCUCGUAGUUAUAUUUAUAAAAAAUACACGGGGCGCCCUAUUUCGUCGCCCCCAUUUAACAUAUACCUAUUUUUUAAUUUUUUUUUUAACUUGUAGUCUUGUACCCACUUUUUAUAUAACUUCAAGCCCAUUUAUUCUCCUUCUCGUACUCCUCCACCUCCCUUUUUCUCUUUUUCUUCUCUUUUCUUAUGUUGUUGUUGGUACUGCCAUGAAACUUCAGUUGAUAGGAUAAUUGCCAUAAAUAUAUUUAUCAAAUUAUUUUAAAAUAAAUUAUAAAUAAUUACGUAAGUUAGUAGACAAUUUAUGAAUAUUUUCACGUACAUAAGUCAGUAGACAAUGAUAAUUAUGUUCGUUUCACGUUUAUUGUUUCCAAAAUUUAUGAUUUAGACAUCGUUGGCAAUCUGAUUAUUUCUUUAAUAUGUUAGAAAGUUUUUUCAAAAACUUCAAUUUAUAUAGUGCUGAAGUUUUUUAUAAAUGAACUAAAUAACUUUAGUUCCAGAGCUGAAGUUCAACAGUUACAUUAUAAAAUAAAAACUUCAGUUCUAGAGCUGAAGUUCGCCACUUACAAAACAAAAACUUUAGCUCUAGCAGUUACACUACAAAACAAAAACUUAAGUUCUAGAGCUGAAGUCCGCUAUUAAAAAAAAACUUCAGCUUUAGAACUGAAGUUCACCAGUUACAAAAAUAAAUACUUCAUCUCUAGAGCUGAAGUUUGCCAAUUAAAAAAACAAAAAUUUCAGCUCUAGAGCUAAAGUUUGUCAGUUACAAAAUCAAAAACUUCAGCUCUAAAGUUGAAGUUCGCCAGAUGCAAAACCAAAAACUUCAGCUCUAGUGCUGAAGUUCGCCAAUUAUAAAAAUAAAAAUUUCAGCUCUAGACGCUAGUUACAAAAGAAAAACUUCAGCUCAAGAGUGAAGUUCGCCAGUUACAAAAAAUAAAAACUUCAGCAAUUAGCAAAUAGAGGACAAAACUUCAGCUAUUAUGCUUUAGUUCAACAAUUAUAAACAAAAAGUUCAGCACACUUGGUUCAAUUCACUUGCUACUUCAGGCUCGUCAAAUGUUGAAGUUUUGUGUGAUUGUCUUUGCUAUUUCUGUUAUAUAAUGCAGAAGUUGUACGAAAAAACGGGUACACUUAUAAUUUUUUUUUUUGCAAAACUAUCACAAAUUAAAAAGUAAUAUAAAAAGCGACUAUAGAUGCAAAUAUCCCGUUUUAUUUACAUCAACUGUAAACUCCAGAAUACUAUUCUCUACUUUCACUUUUAUAAGUUAUAAUUUCUGAAUAUUGUGCUUGAGUUUGAUGAUUCGAUUUAGUAUGAGUGAUUUUUUAUGUAGAUUAAUAUAAAAUAAUAAUAUAAUUAAUUAAAUUAUACAACUAAUAUAAGUCUUUUUUUGCAAUCAAUAUAUAUAAACUCCUAUUAUAUUUAGCUAUUAAAAUUACUUAGCAACUAAAGAUUUGACCAUAAUAAUACAGAAUAUAAUAAGGGAUUAUUUUGGAUUGCCUGAGGACUUAAGUCAAAAGGGUAAGUGCGAACUAAGAACUGCUAGAUGAAAAACUUUGGUUCUAAACUCGAAAAGUAGGGGAAAAGUCGACAUCAACUGAUUCAGUAGUCGAAACAAACCUGCAAUUUCUCUCAAAAAAUAAUGAGGUACCCAUUUUGGAGAAAAUUCAUAAUUUGCAAAUCUUUUUUCCUUUCCGAGUUGUAUUUCUUAAUGUGAAAAUUUUGAAAAAAUGUGCAGUAGUCGUCAACCAGAAGUUCUUUGGGCUCAACGAUCUGAGAAAAUUUACUUGACCAUAUCAUUGCCUGAUGCUAAAGACGUAAUAUUGAAAUGUGAGGAAGAUGGUGUUUUUAAUUUCUCUGCUGUUGGUGUCCAAGGCGAUUCCUUUAUCUUCACUCUCCAACUUUAUGGGAAUAUUUCCCCUGAGGUUCACCUCCUAUUCUUUUUACUAUUUUCUGCAUAGUCUUUUUUGUUUUUGUUUUUGGGUGGCUAAUUUUGUUGAGUUUGGUGAAAGGAGUUGCUGGUACGUUUAAUGUUAAUCCUGAGUUUGCUAGGAGCUCUUUUAAUAGUUUGUUUAGGUUUUUGUACAUAUAUUAGAGAAACCCUAAAUUAUUGAAUGAAACGGGUACAGAAUGCAGUAGUCGUAGUAAAAUAAUACGGGAAGAAUAACAAUAGCAUUUAUAUAAUAUUAUUUAUAAGCGGAUGCACGAAUUGACUUGAGUCGUGAUGGGCAUUGUUCUAAGAAACUAUUUCACAAUGUCAAAUAUUUCCUCAGGAUUAAAUAAGCCUACCUCUACUUAAGAGGAUAUAGGAAUCAAUAAAAUAUUAAAUUACAAACUCAGUUAUAUAAAUAGGGGAACAAAAGAAAAUAGACUACUAAAUUUUGGAGAAGUAUAGACAAGGGAAGCUGGUGUAGAACGAAGAGGCAAAGGAAAGUUGCUGAUGGUUGAUGCCCAAUUUGAAUGCCUAUUUAUAGGCUUUAAGAGAGGUCUGACACAUGACAAGUUGUCUUGAGUUUUCCCUGCAAGAUUGCCGCACUCAUUUCUUCAUUGCCACUUAGAAGGACAUUUGUCCAGUUUUGAAAAUAUCACAAUAGUUCCUUCAUAUAUUUUCAAAAUUCAUACAAAGAGGAGUAAAAUUUGCUGGAUUUGUAUGAUCCAAAUGCAAUAGGUUUGGUGUUUUUUGGAUUAUGAACCAAACAUAGACUGAUAAAAUCAACUCACAUAAUUACUGGUGAAAUAUAAUAUUUCUGUGAGCACUCCUUUUGAUGCUAACUCUCAAUUGGAAAAAUACAAUGGUGAUUCAGUUGCUUAGUCUAAAUAUGCUCAGAUUAUUGGGAGUCUGAUACACUUAAUGAAUUUUACAAGGCCUGAUAUAGCCUAUGUUGUGUGUAGACUGAGUAAAUAUACUCAUAGCCCCAACAGAGAAUGUUGGUCUGUAUUAGCUACACUAAUGAAAUAUUUGAGAGGAACCAUGAAUUAUGGUAUCCUAUAUAGUGGAUUUCUUCUAUUUUAGAAGAGUGGAGUGAUGCAAACUGGAUCUCCGAUUCAUAUGAGACAAAAUUCACUAGUGGUUAUGUAUUCACCCUUGGUGGCGGUGCAAUAUUGUGAAAAUCAGCUAAACAGACGAUCAUAGCUAGAUUGACUAUGGAAUCAGAGUUUGUAGUUUUGGAGUUAGCAGGUUCUGGGGCUGAGUGGUUUAGAAAUUCUUUGCUAAUAUUUCUUUAAUAAAGGAUGUAUUGCCUCCCGUGUCUAUGCAUUGUGAUUGUCAAGCAGCAAUAGCUAUUGCAAAGAAUAAAUCUUAUAAUUAUAAAGUAGACACAUGAAAUUGAGACAUGACGUCAUAAACCAGCUGUUGAGAGAUGGAAUAAUUUCCAUUGACUAUGUGAAGUCAGACAACUAAACUUGUGGGAAGAAAAUUAAUUCUUUAAACCUCAAGAUAGAUGUGGUUAAGGCCAACAUGUUGCCAAUAGAGAUGGUAACCCAACCUAUGUGAUUGGAGAUCCCAUAAAGUAGGUUCAUAUGGGUAAUAACAAGUCGAUAUUGACAGUGAAACACUAAAAGAGAGUGCUUGACUACUAAUUGAGAGGCUACGUUAUAACUCUUAAUAAAUUCAUAUUCCUUAUGAAUGGUGUAUUUAAAAACAAUAUACACUUGAUGAAUUGAUGAACAUGGUUGUUGGUACAUUCACGUUACGACCAGUGUUUGCUAGAUACUUAUAAAAUGUGGCGAAUUUCAAAUGUUAGAAAACCCCACAGUAUUGAAUAUGGAAUAGAAUGGAUACCACUGGAGUCGGACAGAUAUUGAGGAUUCACGUAGCCGACUAUAACUAGUUUGCAACUGAGGUGUUCUUCUGACUAAAAGGGUUCUAGUUUCUGAAUCAGGAUGUUUGGUUUUAUGCUGUGAUUUCUAAUGGGUUUCACAGGGUUAGUACAUUGCUCGCUCAAUCAUAGUUGUUAUAACACCUUUUUUUUUUUUUUGGCAGAGGAGUAAGGUUGAUCUACCCACAUCUUGGUCUUGAACUAUGUAAAUGGAUAGAAAAUUUAUCAUAAUGUUAGGAAGAGCAUAUCAGACUGUGCACCUACUGGCCUAUGUUUGUGACUUUAAGUUGUCGUGCUUGUUUCUUUAUUCUUCUAAAGUUUGGUAUCAUAUAUGUAGUUAUGUUUUGCAUUUAUAUGUGAUUGACUUUUCGAAGUGAAUUUAUAAAAUUAAGCUAGAAAAAUGCUUAGUGUACAUAUGCUCUAUCUAUUAAAAGUGAAAGAAGAAUUUGAAUUUUACAUUAUGUCCUCAAACUGUAUAUAUGUCGUGAUGGUAGUUUAGAGUGCCGUGUAUGAAAGCACGCUUAUCGUGAGUGUCUGUUCCUUUAUACCUGAUGAUAUUAGCAGUUAUAAAGUUGAAAAGGAUUUGCAACCCUCGUGUAUGCACCUUAUUAGCAGUAUCUUGUAUGCACCUUGGUAUCAUUGUUUGAUUGCUCUUCACUAUGCAUAGUUGGAUAUUGUAUUUCCUAAUUCUGAUAUGUGCAUUGAGGCUUGAGCUGUGUUAUGUCUAUCGUGACUUAAAAGAAUCUUUCUGUUAAUUUUUGCUUGAACAAUAGUAUAUUUUCUUACUCCCUUUAGAUGAAAUGCGAAUAGUUUAUUCUCUUACAGAAAUGUUAUAGUUUAACUGGAUAUUUCUUCCUUUUCAUAUUUGUUUCAAUGUUAGAGAAUCCUCAUGGUUGAUAUCUUAGAGUGUAUUUUGGUGCAGCGGUGUAAAACUAAUGUGGGGUUGAGAAACAUCCUUUGCUCAAUCCAAAAGGAGCAAAAAGGCUGGUGGCCAAGAUUAUUGAAGUCUGAAGAGAAACCCGCUCCAUACCUCAAAGUCGAUUGGAACAAAUGGUGUGAUGAAGACGAUGAAGAAUCUUGUGAGUUGGCUGCAUAUUACUUGCUUCCUUAAAUUUCCAUAAAUUUUAUGGCUAUCUUUCCAUUAAUUUGAGACAGUGAGCAGAUCAGAAACUUAAGUAUUUAGUGAAUCCUAAUGUUGGUAAGCCUCCUGUUGGUUCAAUCAAUCUUACUAUCGUUUUGCUGUUGAAUCUUCCUUUAAUUUGUAAUUCAACUCCAUCUCCGCCCUUCCCUCUUUUUCUUCUUUUUGUGCUUUGUAGUAGGAGCUAAGUGGCAGAUGAAAUAUUACCAAUACUUUUGAUUUGAUUUUCUUCCUACUUCCCCUGCAAGACGUUUCAUUUGAUUGAUCCAGGGCAACUUUUAGUAAUUAGACUGCAGGUUGAGUGUAUUCAGUCUUGACUGUCUCUAAUCAGACUUUUCAUGCCUGAUUAAAGGAGAACGGUUUUUUGGAAAAAGGAAAGGAGUAGAAGAGAUGGAAAAUCAGAAGAAAUAAGUGAAUGAGAAAGUAAAACCAUUUUCUUUCUUUUGUCUGGUUUGAGACAGUGGGGAAGCAAGGAAAUUUUGCUACCAUAUUUCCUUAUAUUUGACUAUUUAACCUGAUGCCAGAAGGACAGUAAUAUACUUCUUUCUAUAUUUUCUUUCUUAUUUUAAUGGUAUGAGCACAUCAUGUGAUGUGUGGGUUAGGCGCAUGUCACAGGUUUGAACCUUAUGGAGACAAAAACUCGGUAUUUAAUCGAGAAGGCAGAGGGGCGGGCCCACUAUCACCGACCUUUAAACCAUAUGUCACAGCCCUCAGGAAUUUCUCGAUUAAAAAAGAAACUUAGGCAAAGGGGACUUUUUGAACUUUCUUUUCCUUGUCUUCCUUAGUUUUGAGUCGAAGUGUUAGUUUGUCUAAAAAAGUUUUGAUAAUCGAGAAAUCCCCGAGUGCCAGUGGAACAAGGUUUGAAAGUCGAAGGAUCCUGGGUUGACCUCUCACCAUUCCCCAAAUAUAUAACAGACACUUACCUCUGGUAUGAACCUAUAACUUAUGCCUAACACACACAUCAUGCGAUGUGCUCUUACUACUGGACAAAAGUCAGGGGGCUUAGUUUAUCUAGAAUUUUUGUUUUGCAAUUGAUAUAGUUGGUUAAUGUAUGAUAAUGUGCUCCGAGAUUAGGCAUGCAGGUUUGCACUUCCUACUUCCGAAGAUAAUUUGAUUUUACCCGAUUGAUCCUGUUACUAAAUUUUAUUUCAUCACUUCCCUCCCUCUUCCUUUCUCCGUCCAUAGUGAUAAUCAACUCUCUCAAGUUUGUGGUCUUUUACAGCUGUGUAUCAAUAGCGAUGAACAGUACCAUCUUACUUACUUCAUUCUUCUCUCUCUUCUACUUUGGGAAGAACUGAAGCUUUUGAGCAGUUGUCACUAACUCACCUUCUCAUGUAUAACUAUACGUGUUAUUUACUCAUAGACUAAUCCAGAUUUCUGUUCCAUGCAGCGGACUCUGACGAGGAUGUUGAGGUAAUACCUACCCUAGCUAGUUAAUAUUACAUGCAACAUAAUGUUCAAUGACUUUGAUCAUAGUAACUUGACUUGAAUGUAUCUUCUUUUAGUACACUGGAGAAGAUGAUGAGAGCAGCGAUGAUGGAGGAAUGCUCUGUGAGUUAUUUACUAUCUGAUUGCACGAAUAUAGGGAUAGCUUUUAAAUUUGUCGUAUCUAUCAGAUGCAAUGUUAAGUUUUCCAGUCAACUCUUCUUACACUUCAUCAGUACACUCCUGCUCUCAGAUACUUGUCUAGAUCUCAUUUCCUUUAACAGAGGAAUAGCACCAAAUUCUUGCUUCUCAUUUUUUUGCUUAUAUGAGCAAUUUUUUAUGCACGUAUGACAUUGAAGAGACGGGGAACUUAAAGAGUUUGAAAGGGAGAGGAACAAGGAGCGUGGAUAGGAGUAUAAGGUUCACAGUUUUGAUAAAAUUUCAGGAUCGAACGGAUGGAGGCGAAUAUGAGAAAGUGGGACCUUUAGUUUAUUCUGCUGCAAAACCUCGCUUAGUGGAACUUUUUGUAAGACACCUUAGAAGUAAGCACAAAAUGAACAUCUGAUGAAGGUAUUAAAAUCACAUAACACCCAAUAGCUUCUUUUUAAUCUUGGUUUUCCCUAAUGUGGAAGUUAACGUCCCUCUAUCUCUCUUUUCUUCUCUGCCUUAGGGUCUUCUUUCCUUUAUCCUUUCUUGUAGUUCUUUUCAUUAAGUUCACAAAAGAACAUUUAGAGGCGGAGUCGGGAUUUAAAGCUUGUGGGUUCGAGAUUCUAGUUUAUUUAUGUUACUGGGUUCUAAGUUAACAACAACAACAACAACAACAACUACCAGUAUAUUCCCACCAGGUGGGGUCUGGGGAGGGUAAUAUGUAGACGAGCCUUACCCCUACCCGAAAGGGUAGAGAGGCUGUUUCCAUACAACAACUACCCAGUAUACUCCCACCAGGUGGGAUCUGGGGAGGGUAAUAUAUAGACAAGUCUUACCCCUACCCGAAAGGGCAGAGAGGCUGUUUCCAAUCGACCCCUGGCUCAUAGGAUAAAAGGAAAAACAACAGUAAAACAAAAACAAAGAUAAAAAUAAAAACAAAAACAAAAACAAUAGAGCAUUAGUAACUCCAGCAGAAAUAGUGUAAAUAAGCGUAAAUAAUUAUCUAAACAUACGAAACAUAAAUACAGUCGCAUGCAAUAACAUCAUACAGUAACUACCAUAACUAACAGCCAUAGGGGGUACAUAAGCUAAAACACAAAUCAUCUAUAAGUAACCCUGCUGACCCACACCCAACCCCGGAUGAGGCGUACAAAAAACUCUAGGAGCCCCUAUCCUACAACCCUGAUUCUAGACCUCCAGACUUUCGUAUCAAGGGUCAAGUCCUCCGAAACCUGCAUUCUAGUCAUGUCCUGCCUAAUCACCUCUCCCCAAUGCUUCUUAGUCCUCCCUCUGCCUCGCCGACCGCCAACAAUCUCCAGCCGCUCGCAGCUCCUCACCGGGGCAUCGGGACUUCUUCUCCGCACAUGCCCGAACCACCUCANNN
Molecule: long non-coding RNA, 18528 nt
Filed under: Nicotiana benthamiana
Lineage: Eukaryota; Viridiplantae; Streptophyta; Magnoliopsida; Solanales; Solanaceae
Description: long non-coding RNA (NBEN_LNC016073)
Rfam family: MIR6152 microRNA precursor family (bases 8436-8531)
Source: RNAcentral